Molecule: long non-coding RNA, 664 nt
Organism: Zingiber officinale
Lineage: Eukaryota; Viridiplantae; Streptophyta; Magnoliopsida; Zingiberales; Zingiberaceae
Exons: 2
Source: RefSeq, a predicted model, not a curated record
UCUCCUUCGCAUUUUCCCAUUUUUUCCCUGACGCAAGCCUUCUCGGUUUCCCGACGACAACCUUCUCAUUUUUCCCUAAUGGCAGCCUUCUCGUUUUUCCCCGACGCAAAGCCUCGCAUCGAGACGCCUUCACUUCCUCUCCUCCUUGCACGCUAGCACCGUCGAGAGAAUUGACCUUUGAUAGGUCAUCCUCUUUGGGAUUUUCUGGCCACAAGAAGAAGGGAAAUGCUUAGUUUGCGCUAGAGGCUGCUUUCUCUAAUAUAUUCGGUCCUGCAGCCCCAAGAGCUCGCCAACUAGGUUGGUUUCUAGCAUCUUCUGCCCAAUGGUUUCUGGCAUCUCCUGCCCUAUGGUACUCAGAGAACUUUGUUGUGGCUUGGCAAUUUAUACCUUUGGUUCUUUCACUUGUGCAUCAGGAUUUUUCUCAGAGCCUUAGAUUUAGUACGUGAGAAUGUGAGAGUUAGAGGAUCAGAUACGCUACAGGUGAUGAUAUGUGUGAAUUCUAUACUUAGAUUCGCUAAGAAAAGAAAAUUCAGAUAUUCUUGGAAAAGAAUAAAGGAGAAGGAUUGUUUGUUAUUAAACUUGUUUUUCUGUUAUCGUGAGAACAUUUUAUAUUGUGUUUGUAACUCAUUUUCAAUUCCUAUAAACAUAAUGAUACUUUUAUAAA